Molecule: ribosomal RNA, 464 nt
Filed under: uncultured bacterium
Lineage: Bacteria
Description: partial 16S ribosomal RNA
Rfam family: Bacterial small subunit ribosomal RNA
Source: RNAcentral
GACGAACGCUGGCGGCGUGCUUAACACAUGCAAGUCGAACGGUAAGGCCCUUUCGGGGGUACACGAGUGGCGAACGGGUGAGUAACACGUGGGUGAUCUGCCCUGCCCUUUGGGAUAAGCCUGGGAAACUGGGUCUAAUACCGGAUAGGACUACGCGAUGCAUGUCGUGUGGUGGAAAGCUUUUUCGGUGUGGGGUGGGCCCGCGGCCGAUCAGCUUGUUGGUGGGGUGAUGGCCUACCAAGGCGACGACGGGUAGCCGGCCUGAGAGGGUGUCCGGCCACACUGGGACUGAGAUACGGCCCAGACUCCUACGGGAGGCAGCAGUGGGGAAUAUUGCACAAUGGGCGCAAGCCUGAUGCAGCGACGCCGCGUGGGGGAUGACGGCCUUCGGGUUGUAAACCCCUUUCGGCACAGACGAAGCGUAAGUGACGGUAUGUGCAGAAGAAGCACCGGCUAACUACGUG